AACGAACGCUGGCGGCGCGCCUAAUACAUGCAAGUCGAGCGAGAAGGUGUAGCAAUACACUUGUAAAGCGGCGAACGGGUGAGGAAUACAUGGGUAAUCUACCAUCGAGUGGGAAUAACCAACCGAAAGGUUGGCUAAUACCGCGUACGCCUCCGAGUCUUCGGGUUCGGAGGGAAAGCUGCACUGUGAGUGUAGCGCUCUUUGAUGAGCUCAUGUCCUAUCAGCUUGUUGGUAGGGUAACGGCCUACCAAGGCUUUGACGGGUAGCUGGUCUGAGAGGACGAUCAGCCACACUGGCACUGCGACACGGGCCAGACUCCUACGGGAGGCAGCAGUAAGGAAUAUUGCGCAAUGGGCGAAAGCCUGACGCAGCGACGCCGCGUGGGGAGUGAAGGUCUUCGGAUUGUAAACCCCUUUACGGGUAGGGAAGAUGGAGCGAGCAAUCGUUCGGACGGUA
This 456-nucleotide ribosomal RNA is filed under the name uncultured bacterium. Its description in RNAcentral is "bacterial SSU rRNA". It matches the Rfam family "Bacterial small subunit ribosomal RNA", at positions 29 to 477 of the family's 1533-position model. The record is from RNAcentral.